CCUACGGGAGGCAGCAGUGAGGAAUAUUGGUCAAUGGCCGCAGGGCUGAACCAGCCAAGUCGCGUGAGGGAUGACGGUCCUAUGGAUUGUAAACCUCUUUUGUCAGGGAGCAAAGGGCGCCACGUGUGGCGCUUUGCGAGUACCUGAAGAAAAAGCAUCGGCUAACUCCGUGCCAGCAGCCGCGGUAAUACGGAGGAUGCGAGCGUUAUCCGGAUUUAUUGGGUUUAAAGGGUGCGCAGGCGGAAUGUCAAGUCAGCGGUAAAAUUUCGGGGCUCAACCCCGUCGUGCCGUUGAAACUGGCGUUCUUGAGGGAGCGAGAAGUAUGCGGAAUGCGUGGUGUAGCGGUGAAAUGCAUAGAUAUCACGCAGAACUCCGAUUGCGAAGGCAGCAUACCGGCGCUCAACUGACGCUCAUGCACGAAAGCGUGGGUAUCGAACAGGAUUAGAUACCCCAGUAGUC
RNAcentral lists this ribosomal RNA (459 nucleotides) under uncultured bacterium. Its description in RNAcentral is "partial 16S ribosomal RNA". It matches the Rfam family "Bacterial small subunit ribosomal RNA", at positions 338 to 795 of the family's 1533-position model. The record is from RNAcentral.